Molecule: long non-coding RNA, 220 nt
Filed under: Amborella trichopoda
Lineage: Eukaryota; Viridiplantae; Streptophyta; Magnoliopsida; Amborellales; Amborellaceae
Description: long non-coding RNA (ATRI_LNC003009)
Source: RNAcentral
CGAAACAAGGCUAGAUUCGACGUGCUGCACCACCCCAGAAUCAAUGGAUGAGAUGGAGGUAUGAAGGGAGACAGACCCAGAUUCAAGGUGAGGUGGUUGAGAGGAGGGACAUAUAAGGGAGGAGAUUGGUGGAGUAACAGAGCCUCUUGAUGAAUGCUCCGUAGGAGGUACGUCAAUACUAUUCGACAGGGCCUUCUCGAACAAAGGCUGGAUGAUGGCC